This 1001-nucleotide long non-coding RNA is filed under the name Mus pahari (shrew mouse). Its description in RNAcentral is "predicted gene 29611 (MGP_PahariEiJ_G0005972.1)". Lineage: Eukaryota; Metazoa; Chordata; Mammalia; Rodentia; Muridae. The record is from RNAcentral.
UCAGACCAGAGCCCUCAGAAUGGCUCCUUCCACAUUCAAAAGUCCAAAUUUGGCUUCCUCUCCCUUUGGAAGAGGUUCAUUUCCUUGGAAAUUCUCCAGUCCAUGCAAACCAACUUGUGGCAGGUAGCUCCGGUUCUGACUGCCUAGGUCCUGACUUGUGCAUCACAUCCCACUGACCUUUGUCUUCAUCCGGUUGUCUUUGUUGCGAGUCGACUCUGAGAUGAUCUUCUCCUAGUGUAACUCCAGCAUGUAAUUGUGACAAAUAAAAUAUUCCAUUCGCCUCUCCAAACCUAAGUGUCAAAGUACCAGAUGAUGUGGGCAGGGUUGGGUCAUCUAAACUCUACCUGGUACUUCUAGGAGCACCUGUGUGGUUGGGCUAUAGCCAUAAGAGGAGAGAUAAACUUAAGUUGGAUCUAGUAGUACAAGCCUGUAAUUCCAGGAUUCAGGCAGCUGAAGCAGGAUGACCACUGUGAAUGAGGAAAACAGUGAUAAGGGGCGCAGCCAUGUAGCUCACAUGGUAGGAUGCUUGCCUUGAUUACACAAUGUUCCAGUACACAUGAGCCAGGCAUGGUAGAAUACACGUGUAAUCCUUGCACUCAGGGGCUGGAGACAGGAGGAUCAGACACUCAAAGUCAUCCUGGGCUACUUAGUGAAUUUGAUUCUAGGCUGGGAUACAUGAGAUCUUGUCUUUAAAAAAGGGAGUAGCUGGGCAGUGGUGGCGCACGCCUUUAAUCCCAGCACUCAGGAGGCAGAGGCAAGAGGAUCUGGACUUUAAGGCCAGUCUCUAGUACAAGUCAGUUUGGACUACCAGAACCCCAUCUCAGACGACGACAACAACAAACCCCUUUCAAGCCCAGUCCCUAGGGCUCCCAUGUUGGAACUCGUUCGAGCUUGAUUUUCCACAGGAGUACCUCUGUACAUUUGUCUGCAACGUAACACAAAAGGAACAAGUAAAACUUAUUUUAAAAACAAUAAAACCUCAAAGGUUUAUAUUUUAAAAA